AGAGUUUGAUCCUGGCUCAGAUUGAACGCUGGCGGCAGCCUAACACAUGCAAGUCGAGCGGCAGCGGAAGAUAGCUUGCUAUCUUUGCCGGCGAGCGGGACGGGUGAAGUAAUGCCUUAAGGGAUCUGCCCAGUCGAGGGGGAUAACAGUUGGAAACGACUGCUAAUACCGCAUACGCCCUACGGGGGAAAGGAGGGGACCUUCGGGCCUUCCGCGAUUGGAUGAACCUAGGUGGGAUUAGCUAGUUGGUGAGGUAAUGGCUCACCAAGGCGACGAUCCCUAGCUGUUCUGAGAGGAUGAUCAGCCACACUGGGACUGAGACACGGCCCAGACUCCUACGGGAGGCAGCAGUGGGGAAUAUUGCACAAUGGGGGAAACCCUGAUGCAGCCAUGCCGCGUGUGUGAAGAAGGCCUUCGGGUUGUAAAGCACUUUCAGUAGGGAGGAAAGGUAGCAGCUUAAUACGCUGUUGCUGUGACGUUACCUACAGAAGAAGGACCGGCUAACUCCGUGCCAGCAGCCGCGGUAAUACG
Molecule: ribosomal RNA, 531 nt
Filed under: Shewanella baltica
Lineage: Bacteria; Pseudomonadati; Pseudomonadota; Gammaproteobacteria; Alteromonadales; Shewanellaceae
Description: bacterial SSU rRNA
Rfam family: Bacterial small subunit ribosomal RNA
Source: RNAcentral